Molecule: ribosomal RNA, 522 nt
Filed under: uncultured bacterium
Lineage: Bacteria
Description: bacterial SSU rRNA
Rfam family: Bacterial small subunit ribosomal RNA
Source: RNAcentral
AAUAGAUACCCGGGUAGUCCACGCCGUAAACGAUGAGUGCUAAGUGUUAGAGGGUUUCCGCCCUUUAGUGCUGCAGCUAACGCAUUAAGCACUCCGCCUGGGGAGUACGGCCGCAAGGCUGAAACUCAAAGGAAUUGACGGGGGCCCGCACAAGCGGUGGAGCAUGUGGUUUAAUUCGAGGCAACGCGAAGAACCUUACCAGGUCUUGACAUCCUCUGCCAACCCUAGAGAUAGGGCGUUCCCCUUCGGGGGACAGAGUGACAGGUGGUGCAUGGUUGUCGUCAGCUCGUGUCGUGAGAUGUUGGGUUAAGUCCCGCAACGAGCGCAACCCUUGAUCUUAGUUGCCAGCAUUCAGUUGGGCACUCUAAGGUGACUGCCGGUGACAAACCGGAGGAAGGUGGGGAUGACGUCAAAUCAUCAUGCCCCUUAUGACCUGGGCUACACACGUGCUACAAUGGAUGGUACAAAGAGCUGCGAACCCGCGAGGGUAAGCCAAUCUCAUAAAGCCAUUCUCAGUUCGGA